Molecule: transfer RNA, 66 nt
Filed under: Bayerotrochus teramachii
Lineage: Eukaryota; Metazoa; Mollusca; Gastropoda; Pleurotomariida; Pleurotomariidae
Description: tRNA-Thr
Rfam family: tRNA
About the family: Transfer RNA (tRNA) molecules are approximately 80 nucleotides in length. Their secondary structure includes four short double-helical elements and three loops (D, anti-codon, and T loops). Further hydrogen bonds mediate the characteristic L-shaped molecular structure. tRNAs have two regions of fundamental functional importance: the anti-codon, which is responsible for specific mRNA codon recognition, and the 3' end, to which the tRNAs corresponding amino acid is attached (by aminoacyl-tRNA synthetases). tRNAs cope with the degeneracy of the genetic code in two manners: having more than one tRNA (with a specific anti-codon) for a particular amino acid; and 'wobble' base-pairing, i.e. permitting non-standard base-pairing at the 3rd anti-codon position.
Source: RNAcentral
GCGGCAAAAGCUUAAAAUGAGCAUCGGUCUUGUAAAUCGAAGGAUGAAGUUUACCUUCUUGCCGUA